This 468-nucleotide ribosomal RNA is filed under the name uncultured bacterium. RNAcentral's name for it is "partial 16S ribosomal RNA". It matches the Rfam family "Bacterial small subunit ribosomal RNA", at positions 28 to 507 of the family's 1533-position model. The record is from RNAcentral.
GACGAACGCUGGCGGCGUGCUUAACACAUGCAAGUCGAACGGAAAGGCCCUGCUUUUGUGGGGUGCUCGAGUGGCGAAAGGGUGAGUAACACGUGAGUAACCUGCCCUUGACUUUGGGAUAACUUCAGGAAACUGGGGCUAAUACCGGAUAGGAGCUCCUGCUGCAUGGUGGGGGUUGGAAAGUUUCGGCGGUUGGGGAUGGACUCGCGGCUUAUCAGCUUGUUGGUGGGGUAGUGGCUUACCAAGGCUUUGACGGGUAGCCGGCCUGAGAGGGUGACCGGCCACAUUGGGACUGAGAUACGGCCCAUACUCCUACGGGAGGCAGCAGUGGGGAAUAUUGCACAAUGGGCGGAAGCCUGAUGCAGCAACGCCGCGUGCGGGAUGACGGCCUUCGGGUUGUAAACCGCUUUCGCCUGUGACGAAGCGUGAGUGACGGUAAUGGGUAAAGAAGCACCGGCUAACUACGUG